This 1352-nucleotide ribosomal RNA is filed under the name metagenome. RNAcentral's name for it is "bacterial SSU rRNA". It matches the Rfam family "Bacterial small subunit ribosomal RNA". The record is from RNAcentral.
AGAGUUUGAUUCUGGCUCAGGAUGAACGCUGGCGGCGUGGAUAAGGCAUGCAAGUCGAACGGUCCAGUUCUUUCGCAAGAAAGAGCUGGGUAGUGGCGAACGAGUUAGUAACACCUUGGUACGUAAUCCGAAGCCGGGCAUAACGGGUCGAAGGAUCCGCUAAUUCCCGAUAGUAUCGCAAGAUUAAAGUCGCAAGACACUUCGGAAGCGACCUAGGUCCUAUCAGCUUGUUGGUGAGGUAACGGCUCACCAAGGCUAUGACGGGUAGGGGGCGUGAGAGCGUGGCCCUCAACGACGAAACUGAGACACGGUUCGUACACCUACGGGUGGCAGCAGUCGAGAAUAUUCGACAAUGGACGAAAGUCUGAUCGAGCGACGCCGCGUGGAGGAUGAAGGCCUUUGGGUCGUAAACUCCUUUUGCUAGGGAAAAACUUUGAUUGUACCUAGAGAAUAAGAGGUUGCUAACUCUGUGCCAGCAGCAGCGGUAAUACAGAGACCUCGAGCGUUAUCCGGAAUUACUGGGCGUAAAGCGCGAGUAGCCGGUUGUGUUAGUCUGGCGUUAAAUUCCGAGGCCCAACUUCGGAACUGCGUUGGAAACGGCACGGCUAGAGCGGGUAAGAGGCAAGCGGAACGUGCAGUGUAGGGGUGAAAUCCAUUGAUAUUGCACGGAACACCAAAAGCGAAGGCAGCUUGCUAGUGCUCUGCUGACGGUCAAUCGCGAAAGCGUGGGGAUCAAAAAGGAUUAGAUACCCUUGUAGUCCACGCCCUAAACUAUGCACACUAGCUAUUGGGAGCAUCGACCCUUCCAGUGGCGAAGCUAACGCGUUAAGUGUGUCGCCUGGGAAGUACGAGCGCAAGCUUAAAACUCAAAGAAAUAGGCGGGAACUCGCACAAGCAGUGGAUCAUGUGGUUCAAUUCGACUCUGAGCGGGAAACCUCACCAGGGCUUGAAAUCCAGAUGCAUGACGUGGAAACACGUCAGCCUUAGAGGGUUCUGGACAGGUGCUGCACGGCUGUCGUCAGCUCGUCUCGUGAGAGGUCUCCUUAAGUGGAUUAACGAGCGCAACCCCCAUCGUGUGUUACAAGUGUCACACGAGACUGCCUUCGUAAGAAGGAGGAAGGUGGGGAUGACGUCAAGUCAGCGUGGCCCUUUGAUGCCCUGGGCUACACACAUGAUACAAUGGAUGUUACAAUGGGUUGCCAAACCGCGAGGUGGAGCUAAUCCCAUCAAAGGCAUCCUCAGUUCGGAUAGGAGGCUGCAACUUGCCUCCUUGAAGCUGGAAUUGCUAGUAAUCGCAGAUCAGCACGCUGCGGUGAAUACGUUCUCGAGUUUUGCACUCACUGCCCGAGCGG